CCUACGGGAGGCAGCAGUGAGGAAUAUUGGUCAAUGGGCUUACGCCUGAACCAGCCAAGUCGCGUGAGGGAAGACUGCCCUAUGGGUUGUAAACCUCUUUUGUCAGGGAGCAACGCCGGCUACGUGUAGCCGGACUGAGAGUCCCUGAAGAAAAAGCAUCGACAAACUCCGUGCCAGCAGCCGCGGUAAUACGUAGGAUGCGAGCGUUAUCCGGAUUUAUUGGGUUAAAAGGGUGCGUAGGCGGAAUGCCUAGUCAGCGGUAAAACCGCGGGGCACAACCUCGCUCCGCCGUUGAAACUGGCGUGCUUGAGUGGGCGAGAAGUAUGCGGAAUGCGUGGUGUAGCGGUGAAAUGCAUAGAGAUCACGCAGAACACCGAUUGCGAAGGCAGCAUACCGGCGCCCAACUGACGCUGAAGCACGAAAGCGUGGGUAUCGAACAGGAUUAGAUACCCCUGUAGUC
Molecule: ribosomal RNA, 460 nt
Filed under: uncultured bacterium
Lineage: Bacteria
Description: partial 16S ribosomal RNA
Rfam family: Bacterial small subunit ribosomal RNA
Source: RNAcentral